This 438-nucleotide ribosomal RNA is filed under the name uncultured bacterium. RNAcentral's name for it is "bacterial SSU rRNA". It matches the Rfam family "Bacterial small subunit ribosomal RNA", at positions 355 to 786 of the family's 1533-position model. The record is from RNAcentral.
UAGGGAAUUUUCGUCAAUGGGGGAGCCCUGAACGAGCAAUGCCGCGUGUGUGAAGAAGGUCUUCGGAUCGUAAAGCACUGUUGUAAGUGAAGAAUGCCAUAUAGAGGAAAUGCUAUGUGGGUGACGGUAGCUUACCAGAAAGCCACGGCUAACUACGUGCCAGCAGCCGCGGUAAUACGUAGGUGGCAAGCGUUAUCCGGAAUCAUUGGGCGUAAAGGGUGCGUAGGUGGCACGAUAAGUCUGAAGUAAAAGGCAACAGCUCAACUGUUGUAUGCUUUGGAAACUGUCGAGCUAGAGUGCAGAAGAGGGCGAUGGAAUUCCAUGUGUAGCGGUAAAAUGCGUAGAUAUAUGGAGGAACACCAGUGGCGAAGGCGGUCGCCUGGUCUGUAUCUGACACUGAUGCACGAAAGCGUGGGGAGCAAAGUAGGAUUAGAUACC